GAAAUACGAUAGGUAAUGUAAAUUGCAGAAUUCAGUGAAUCAUCGAAUUUUUGGACGCAUAUUGCGCCCGCUAGCACUCUGGCAGGCAUGCCCGUUCGCGCGUCAUUUCAGCACACAGGUCUUAGCCGCCUGGCGUUGGGGCGCUGCGGCCCGGUCCACAGGCCCCCAAAUUAGCGGUGGACCCGCCGCGGCCCUGAGUAUAGUAGUUGACAAAGCCUCGCUCCGGAGGCCGCGGUGCGGCCCUGCCCCGCCCAAUAGCGCGCAAUGCGUAAGCAAAGUUGACCUCAGAGUAGGUAGGACUACCCGCAAAACUUAA
Molecule: unclassified non-coding RNA, 316 nt
Filed under: uncultured Ascomycota
Lineage: Eukaryota; Fungi; Ascomycota
Description: sequence contains ITS1
Rfam family: 5.8S ribosomal RNA (bases 1-105)
Source: RNAcentral